Molecule: unclassified non-coding RNA, 317 nt
Filed under: plant metagenome
Description: partial contains 5.8S ribosomal RNA, internal transcribed spacer 2, and large subunit ribosomal RNA
Source: RNAcentral
UGGAGGCAAUUCCUUGAGACAAUUACUGCGCAUCCGGAAGCUCCACUCUACCACUAUGGCAGUUAUGAGCCACGAGCGCUCGCUAAAUUAGCAGCACGAUACCAGACGGAGUACGAGUACAUCCGGGUUCGGCUGGUUAAUGUCAAUGAAUACAUCUACGGGAAUAUAUACUUUCCAACUCGAUAGAACCGCCUGAAGGAUAUCGCCGGUUUCAUCGGAGUGCGCUGGAGCUCGCCUCAUGCUUCUGGCUUGCAAAGCCUCGCAUGGCGCUACCUCUGGGAGGAAACAGGAACCAGCACGUAUAAGCAGGCAUUGAC